ACGGAGGGUGCGAGCGUUAAUCGGAAUCACUGGGCGUAAAGCGUACGUAGGCGGUGUCGUAAGUCGGAUGUGAAAGCCCUCGGCUCAACCGGGGAACUGCAUUUGAUACUGCGAUGCUUGAGUGCCGGAGAGGGUGGCGGAAUUCCAGGUGUAGCAGUGAAAUGCGUAGAUAUGUGGAGGAACACCGAUGGCGAAGGCAGCCACCUGGGCGAUUACUGACGCUGAGGUGCGAAAGCGUGGGGAGCAAACAG
Molecule: ribosomal RNA, 251 nt
Filed under: uncultured prokaryote
Description: partial 16S rRNA
Rfam family: Bacterial small subunit ribosomal RNA
Source: RNAcentral